RNAcentral lists this ribosomal RNA (481 nucleotides) under uncultured bacterium. RNAcentral's name for it is "partial 16S ribosomal RNA". It matches the Rfam family "Bacterial small subunit ribosomal RNA", at positions 28 to 507 of the family's 1533-position model. The record is from RNAcentral.
GAUGAACGCUGGCGGCGUGCUUAACACAUGCAAGUCGAACGAAGCACUUUAUUUGAUUUCCUUCGUGGCUGAUUAUUUUAUGACUGAGUGGCAGACGGGCGAGUAACGCGCAGGUCCCCUGCCUCUUACGGGGGGCUAACAGUUGGAAACGGCUGCUAAUACCCCAUAAGCGCACAGCAUCGCAUGCUGCACUGUCAAAAACUCCGGUGGUAUACGAGGGACCCGUGUUGGGUUAGCUAGUUGGUGAGGUAACAGGCCACCAAGGCGACGAUCCCUAGCCGAGCUGGGAGGGCGACCGACCACAUUGGGAGUGGGACACGGCCGGAACUCCUAGCGGAGGCAGCAGGCGUGAAUAUGGGACAAUGGGCGAAAGACUGAGGCAGCGACGCCGCGUGAGCGAAGAAGUAUUGCGGUAGGUAAAGCUCUAGCAGCAGGGAAGAUAAUGACGGUACCUGACGAAGAAGCACCGGCUAAAUACGUG